UGCAUAGCCAGAUCAUCAACCAGUUCCUUGAAGAUGUCACCGCGUGAGACGAAGUCCGUCUCACAGUUAACCUCCAAGAGGACACCGAUUCUGCUGUCGUGGAUAUAGGAACCGAUUCUUCCCUCGGCUGUGGCUCUGCUGGCUUUCUUGUCUGCGCUCGCUAGUCCCUUCUUGCGGAGGUACUCUUGAGCUUUCACCAUGUCGCCUUCGCUCUCCAAGAGAGCGUUCUUGCAGUCCAUCAUUCCGGCUCCUGUUUCUUCUCUGAGUUGCUUCACUAAGGCCGGUGAAAUGCCAGCUGCAACAGAGAGAAGUUUCCCAUUAUAUCAUGAAGCAGAGAUCUACAGAAGCUAAAGAUGAGCAAAAGAAAUACCUUUGAUGCCACUUUCCUCAGUAGAAGCUUCUGUGACUACUGCGGCAGGAGUCUCGGCUUCAGCAACAGGUACUUCGGCCACUUUCUCAACGUCUUCACUUGCUACAGCUUCUGGAGAUGAAACUUCAUCAGGUAUAGCUUCAGCAACAGGUACUCCGGCUACCACCUCCUCCUUCUUCUCAACGUCUUCUGUUGCUACAGCUUCUGAAGAUGGAACUUCAUCAGGUACAGUUUCAGCAACAGGUACUUCAGCCACCACUUCCUCCUUCUUCUCAACGUCUUCGCUUACCACAGCCUCUGGAGAUGAAACUUCAUCAGUAGCUGAACUUUGAGGAAUAGAGUUCUCAGAAACUUCCUCUUCACCUGGUAACGAGUAGAAUAAACGGAUCAAUGAUAUUAAACAUUAAAACCAAUUAACUGAUUUAGUACUAGUAAAAAGGCAACUCAACCUACUUUUGGUUUCUGGAACUGGAGGAACAUCUGGCGUUUCCUCAACCUUUUCCACCUCCUCAACUUCAGCUGCUGCAGCAAGUGUUUCCGUUUGCUCUUCUGUCUCCUCUUCAGCUUUGGUCUCUAUCACUUCUUCUUCUUCUACCUUUGGAGUUUCUGAUUUUGCAUCUCUAUCUCCUUUUCCUUCAUCACAAUCUCUUCUGAAACAUCUUCAGGUACAAGGUACUCUACUUGAGGGCACGCAGCCACCUAUGUAACAAGUCAAUUUAUGUUUUAAGUUACAGAAAAUGAAGAAAAUGUUGUUAGCUAGGAUCUUUGGAGUUACUUACCUGCAUAGCCAGAUCAUCAACCAGUUCCUUGAAGAUGUCACCGCGUGAGACAAAGUCUGUCUCGCAGUUAACUUCCAAGAGGACACCGAUUCUGCUGUCGUGGAUAUAGGAACCGAUUCUCCCCUCGGCUGUGGCUCUGCUGGCUUUCUUGUCUGCGCUCGCUAGUCCCUUCUUGCGGAGGUACUCUUGCGCUUUCACCAUAUCUCCCUCGCUCUCCAAGAGAGCGUUCUUGCAGUCCAUCAUUCCGGCUCCUGUUUCUUCUCUGAGCUGCUUCACUA
This 1427-nucleotide long non-coding RNA is filed under the name Brassica napus (rape). Its description in RNAcentral is "long non-coding RNA (BNAP_LNC000107)". Lineage: Eukaryota; Viridiplantae; Streptophyta; Magnoliopsida; Brassicales; Brassicaceae. The record is from RNAcentral.